RNAcentral lists this ribosomal RNA (500 nucleotides) under uncultured bacterium. RNAcentral describes it as "partial 16S ribosomal RNA". It matches the Rfam family "Bacterial small subunit ribosomal RNA", at positions 29 to 523 of the family's 1533-position model. The record is from RNAcentral.
AUUGAACGCUGGCGGAAUGCUUUACACAUGCAAGUCGAACGGCAGCACGGGGGCAACCCUGGUGGCGAGUGGCGAACGGGUGAGUAAUACAUCGGAACGUGCCCAGUCGUGGGGGAUAACGCGGCGAAAGCUGUGCUAAUACCGCAUACGAUCUAUGGAUGAAAGCGGGGGACCGUAAGGCCUCGCGCGAUUGGAGCGGCCGAUGGCAGAUUAGGUAGUUGGUGGGGUAAAGGCUCACCAAGCCGACGAUCUGUAGCUGGUCUGAGAGGACGACCAGACACACUGGGACUGAGACACGGCCCAGACUCCUACGGGAGGCAGCAGUGGGGAAUUUUGGACAAUGGGCGCAAGCCUGAUCCAGCCAUUCCGCGUGCAGGAUGAAGGCCCUCGGGUUGUAAACUGCUUUUGUACGGAACGAAACGGUCUGCUCUAAUACAGCGGGCUAAUGACGGUACCGUAAGAAUAAGCACCGGCUAACUACGAGCCAGCCGCCGCCGUAA